UACACACUGGUUGUUGCUGUCUGCUAUUAAUAUUUUUCCAUUUGUAGAUGCAGCUACACCUUGAAGAUUUGUAAAUUCCCCUUUGUUUCUUCCUUUGGUGCCUACUCUGAAGAUCAAAUCAUCUUCAAUGGGAUUCUCUUUUCUUUUUCCAGUGCUGUACAUGCUCGCAGGUCUUUUCACAGCUUUCUGCUUUACAUGACCACUGCCAGGAGAUUUAACACGUCUCUUAAC
RNAcentral lists this long non-coding RNA (231 nucleotides) under Gallus gallus (chicken). Lineage: Eukaryota; Metazoa; Chordata; Aves; Galliformes; Phasianidae. The record is from RNAcentral.